RNAcentral lists this long non-coding RNA (4137 nucleotides) under Mus musculus (house mouse). RNAcentral's name for it is "long non-coding RNA chr11:93557380-93561517". Lineage: Eukaryota; Metazoa; Chordata; Mammalia; Rodentia; Muridae. The record is from RNAcentral.
AGAAAAGGAGAGAGGGAGAAAAGGAGAGAGGGAGAGAGGGAAAAAGAGAAACACCCAGCAUUUAAAUGAUUGUGUUCUUUAAGGAUACUUCUGUCAGUCAGCAAGACUCUACCAUUCACCCUCUUUACCCCAUACAUGUAUGUAUAUGAAUUUUAAAAAAUUUAAUAGCAAAUGACAUGAAGCACUUUAAAGUGAAUAACUUCAUGGCACACAGUACCUUCUCAAGGUGACGUGGUUUCCGUCUUUAUCUAGUUCUAAAAACGUUCACCACCUGCAAAGAAAACCCUGUAUAUAUUAAACAGUUACCUCACCACUGGAGUUCCCAGCCACUGUCACCACUAACCUGCUUUCUGCCUUUGUGGUUUCGGCUGUCGUGUGUGUCUUAUAGAAGUAGAAUUAUAAUACUUGACUUUUUGCAUUUGUCUGGCUUCUUUCACUUAGCAUGAUAUGCCCAUGGUUCAUGCAUCUUAUAGCAUGUAUUCCUUUUCGUGGUUUAGUCAUUUUCUAUUGACAAUAUGUUCUAUGCUGGUUAGGGAUGAUUUGGUUUUGGUUUUGCCUUGUUUGACAACUUGACACAAGAUAAAGUCACGUGGGAAGAGGGAACCUCAAGUGAGAAAACACUUCCAUCAGAUUGGCUUGUGGGUAUUUUCUUGAUGGAUGGUUGCUGUGAGCAAUGUAAUCCCUGGACCGGUGACCCUGGACUGUAUAGAAAGCAAACUGAGCAAACCAUAAAGAGAGAGCCAGUGAGCAACUUUCCUCCUGCUUUAGCUCCUGCCCUGACUUCCCUCAAUGAAGGACCAUGAUUGGGGUGAGUAAGCCAAAUAAGCACAUUUGGUCCCAGCGUUUAGCGUAGCAAUAGAGACAUCUAACUAGUGCACAUACAGUCUGUCUACUCUUUAACUUGGGCAGAGAUGGACAUUUGGAGUCUUUCUACCUUGGUCGGCUGAGAACAAUUCUACCCUGAGCAGGGUUGGACACCCUUUGGUUGGAUUUACUCCUUUGGGAUGCAUGCAUAUGAGCUAAGGAACCGCUGAGUUGUAUGUCCAUUCUGUUUACCUUCUUGAGGAGCUGCCAAAUUGUUUCCCUACAUUUUUAAUUGAGCUCUUGCCUUCCGCAAAUACUGUACUAAAGCAUUCACCACACAAAUGCAUUUGCAUGGUGUGUGUUCAGAGACAAGGAGAGACCUUGAAGUCAAUUAGGAAUUUGUGACAGCUCCUGCCUCCACAAUCUCUCUCAAUUUCUCUUGGUCUCUAUACCUCCACUUAACUGUCUGCCUCUUUUUGUGUACUUAUUUGGGGGGGGAGAGCAAAGGGGGAGCAGGGAAGGACCACAGAGAGUUCCCCACACAGCUCUAGCAGUGAUUAAUAACAACUAUUACUAAUUGUGCAAGUGCUAGUCUGUAGAAUAGAUGUUAUUAUUCAUUUUGCAGGCUCAGUAUAGAAAAUUUGCAAAAUUAAGAGUCAUAUCCAAGUUCAAGUAGCAGAAUCAGGAUGUAAGCCCCAGGCUAUUCAAUAUCAUUUACUUCUUGACCAGCAGAGAUGUGAAAGGCUUAAGACAAACACCAUAUGGCCAGUGUCAUGGCUACUCCUGGCUGUCGGAGAACACAGGUCUCAUCAGUGGUAGGGAAGCAUGGGGUAGACCAGUUCCUACAGGUUGACUGUGGAUCCAAGGAUAAGCCCAGACUUGGGAAUUUACUGAAAAAAGAAAUCCCAGGUUAUUCAUUGGUGAUGAGCUACGAGCCUGUGAUAUGAUAUUGGACAGAGGUGAUGCUUCGUGUGACACUGCCUGGACUGGUAGAUGUCACCAUUGUAGGCAAAGUGGUGCACAAAUAUAAUCCUAAAAGCAUAUUACAUAAGACGCAUUUUUCUAUAAGUUAUAGCAGAUUCAAGUCUGUCCUCUGAAGACAGUAUCUCUCAUUUGCUCUGUAGCCAUUGUGCUUGCUGAUUUGAACAGAGAGUGGGUGGCUGUACCCAGCACCAGCCCAGAGCUCUGCAACCUUUGGUGAGCCUCAGAAACACUAACAGAUCUUAAAAAAACAAGUACCUAGAAAGGCUGAUAUAGUCAGGCAGCCAGGAAUCUCCAUUUCUCAUCAGCACCCAGGUGACAUCUAAGGCUUAAACAACAUCACUCACAGUCGGGUAGAGAGAGUGGCAGCCACCAUGGGUGAGAAAGACAACUGUGCAGACUCCCAAAGACUUGCUGAACCCCUUCUGCCCCUGUCAUCAUCCUACCUCUGAAAACGUGGUGUCCGGGUGGGUUUUAACACAGUGCCAAUUGUGGGUAAAUGUUCAGUUUACAGACACAGGAGAACAUUAUGCUGGUCUUUAAGAAGUUAAACGUGAAAUUAACAAGGAACCGAAACAUUUGCUCAUAAACAUCCCCCCCCCCCCGAAUAACUGAAAAGAAUAGGAAGUUGUCCGUGAGUGCUCAGAGGCUCUGCGUGGAGCAGCCCCAGCCACCAUCGAUCAUGGCGAUCAUGGGAUUAUGCUUAAACCCUCAAAAUCUAUGACUGACUUACCAUUAACAAUUAGGGACACAAAACAAAGAUCAUCGGUAGUGUCCUGUCAGAAAUCUGUGGGUCUUGGUCAAAAACAAGAGUGUUCCCAUGAGACCGCCGCAUCUCAGCCAGAUGUCCAGGUAAGAGAAGUUUUUAGAGCCACUGCCCCAGAAGAUUAGGAGCACUGAGCAUCACUGAUGCCAUGCACACUGCUUAGUCUAUACAGAUGUAAUAGGAGGUAUGCAAAUUCCCCUGGCCAGCCCCCAGGACAAAUAAGAAAAAUGGGUGUACCAUGUGGAUGGACGAAAGCCAAGGGCCACUCCCAGCAGGUACCUCCCCUAGGUGAUGGGCUCUAAAAAGUUUUUUAUUCUGCUUUCUUGUCUCUUCAGUCCAUCUUUUUAGGAAAGAGCUCACAGUCUCAUGGAGAGGUGUUCUGUUUAUUUAAGGCAACUGGGGGCAAAAGGCUUUGUGCAGAAGAUGAAACGAGAGCCGUGUUAAUUCUGUGUUAAUGACAGGAGAGCAAUUUUCUUACAGGAAAUAACUAGUUACCUUAAUCAUUUUAAGUAGUUAUUAACAUCAGCCUAAAAAGGAUAGCUCUGCUUAUCACGAUCCACGCACAAAGGAAAUGAAGACAUGAAUAACUGGACCUUAAACACAUUUCUGGCAUCUUCCUUCUGGGUGGUAUUAAACGGUAUUAAUCUUUUUAACCGACUUCAAUCCUGAGACCACAGCCCUGUGAUAAAAUGUUAAGCGAGUCGCUGGAAAUAGAGGUGGCUUCGCCAGAUUUAUUGUGCCAAUUUACCAACAGCGAAAGCACACAGCCUUGCUGCGAGGAAGCCCAUAGAAAAGGAAGACUGGCAGGGAGAUGUAUGGGUUAAUUAAUAAAAUGCAGAUAAUAGCAUCGGCCUGAUACUAAUACUUCUUCAGGGGCUGCUUGGUAUACAUCUCUGGGAAUAAGCAAAGCUGCAAUGUAUUGUUGCUACUGUAUCCAGUAAACACACACACACACACACACACACACACACACUCCUCAGAUAAGGAUCAGAGGUGGGAAAUGAAAGAAACACAAGCAACUUAAUCCAGGCCACAGCUACACAAUAAAGAAGACAAAAGAACUGCCGAGCAAGAAUAAGAGGCUCGUUGCAGGGUUUUACAGUUUUAAGACACGUGAAGUCAUUUUUCCCCCUAAGUAAGGGAACUGUUCUUCUCCCCCCUGAGGAAGCUUGCUUUGUGGAGGAAACCGGCAUUAUCAGACACGUCAACAAGCUGUAUUUAAGGACGAAUGGUGUGUGCCAAGGGCAUUGGGUAAAAGGGUUUCCAAAGGAGUGGAUCUCCUGCUGGGGGCUUGGGGGGAGGAGUGGCGAAUUCCUCUAAGCAAAAUAUGUUAGAAGCCAGAAUAGGAAAGGCCUUGAGAAAGGUGUGUGGCGCAGGGGUGAGUGUGCCGAUUACCUUCUUCUGUGCGGUGAGGCUUGAGCCUGGUUGUGAAGGAUAAAGAAGAAAGAGCUCACCCGAUGGUUCCCGUGGAUAAAGGACAUUUUAAGGGAUGAAGAAGAGUGAUUCCAAAAUGCAGAUGUGCAGGCCGGACAGGUCUGGCCAGGCAGGAAGCCAUGGCAAACGGAAUGCAUGCCACUGGACACAAC